AAGUCGUAACAAGGUUUCCGUAGGUGAACCUGCGGAAGGAUCAUUAAUUACGAAAGCUAUAGCCCCUUCGGGGGUUAUUGCAUCCACCCUUUGUCUACUUGUACCUCUUGUUGUUUCCUCGGCAGGCUUGCCUGCCGCUAGGAACCCCUUAAACUCUUGUAUUUACAGUAUUAAAAUCUCUGAUAACUAUUUAAAUUAUUACAACUUUCAACAAUGGAUCUCUUGGUUCUG
Molecule: unclassified non-coding RNA, 231 nt
Filed under: Stagonospora sp.
Lineage: Eukaryota; Fungi; Ascomycota; Dothideomycetes; Pleosporales; Massarinaceae
Also listed under: 1 other name
Description: partial internal transcribed spacer region
Rfam family: Eukaryotic small subunit ribosomal RNA (bases 1-46)
Source: RNAcentral